CUGGGGCCUAUAUGUGAUUGUUGACCGAGUAUUGGGUAAUGAUGAAGGUGUAGAAUUGUGUUAUAUAGUGGCUGAAAUCAAAGCAAGAGUGGUUAGCUAGUAUCGUGCUUGGCCAUCAUAUCCUGAAAAAAUGGCCACUUAGCUUUAUGGCAUUGGAAAGAGUUAUGUUCACCAAAAAAGCUGUCUUAUGGUAAGGUGUUAGUUGAUGAUGUGGUUC
RNAcentral lists this long non-coding RNA (217 nucleotides) under Elaeis guineensis (African oil palm). RNAcentral describes it as "long non-coding RNA (EGUI_LNC009777)". Lineage: Eukaryota; Viridiplantae; Streptophyta; Magnoliopsida; Arecales; Arecaceae. The record is from RNAcentral.